Molecule: ribosomal RNA, 458 nt
Filed under: uncultured bacterium
Lineage: Bacteria
Description: partial 16S ribosomal RNA
Rfam family: Bacterial small subunit ribosomal RNA
Source: RNAcentral
CCUACGGGAGGCAGCAGUGGGGAAUAUUGCACAAUGGGGGAAACCCUGAUGCAGCGACGCCGCGUGAGUGAAGAAGUAUUUCGUUACGUAAAGCUCUAUCAGCAGGGAAGAAACACUGCCCUACCGGUCAGCAGACGGUCGCUGAGCAAGAAGCCACGGCUAACUACGUGCCAGAAGCCGCGGGAAUACGUAGGGGGCAAGGGUUAUCCGGAUUUACUGGGUGUAAAGGGAGCGUAGACGGUACGGCAAGUCUGGAGUGAAAGGCCAGGGCUUAACUGCGGAACUGCUUUGGAAACUGGUGAACUAGAGUGCUGGAGGGGUAAGUGGAAUUCCUAGUGUAGCGGUGAAAUGCGUAGAUAUUAGGAGGAACACCGGUGGCGAAGGCGGCUUACUGGACCGUAACUGACGUUGAGGCUCGAAAGCGUGGGGAGCAAACAGGAUUAGAUACCCGGGUAGUC